AUACGGAGGGGGUUAGCGUUGUUCGGAAUUACUGGGCGUAAAGCGCGCGUAGGCGGCUCGUCUGGUUGGGCGUGAAAUCCCUGGGCUUAACCCAGGAACUGCGUUUGAAACUGGCAGACUAGAGUUCGGGAGAGGAGAGUGGAAUUCCCAGUGUAGAGGUGAAAUUCGUAGAUAUUGGGAAGAACACCAGUGGCGAAGGCGGCUCUCUGGACCGAUACUGACGCUGAGGUGCGAAAGCGUGGGGAGCAAACAGGAUUAGAUACCCCAGUAGUCC
Molecule: ribosomal RNA, 274 nt
Filed under: uncultured bacterium
Lineage: Bacteria
Description: partial 16S ribosomal RNA
Rfam family: Bacterial small subunit ribosomal RNA
Source: RNAcentral